Molecule: transfer RNA, 63 nt
Filed under: Pseudomonas syringae
Lineage: Bacteria; Pseudomonadati; Pseudomonadota; Gammaproteobacteria; Pseudomonadales; Pseudomonadaceae
Description: tRNA-Pro
Rfam family: tRNA
About the family: Transfer RNA (tRNA) molecules are approximately 80 nucleotides in length. Their secondary structure includes four short double-helical elements and three loops (D, anti-codon, and T loops). Further hydrogen bonds mediate the characteristic L-shaped molecular structure. tRNAs have two regions of fundamental functional importance: the anti-codon, which is responsible for specific mRNA codon recognition, and the 3' end, to which the tRNAs corresponding amino acid is attached (by aminoacyl-tRNA synthetases). tRNAs cope with the degeneracy of the genetic code in two manners: having more than one tRNA (with a specific anti-codon) for a particular amino acid; and 'wobble' base-pairing, i.e. permitting non-standard base-pairing at the 3rd anti-codon position.
Source: RNAcentral
UAUAGCGCAGUCCGGUAGCGCGCCUGCUUUGGGAGCAGGAUGUCAGGAGUUCGAAUCCCCUUA